Molecule: long non-coding RNA, 1936 nt
Organism: Colletes gigas
Lineage: Eukaryota; Metazoa; Arthropoda; Insecta; Hymenoptera; Colletidae
Exons: 4
Source: RefSeq, a predicted model, not a curated record
AAUAUUGUAAAAUAACAAAUCCACCAUUUAAGUAUCGAAUAUUUCCAUUUGGAUAUGGAAAACUAGCGUGACGGUUAACGUGUUAAGCAUAUGGGGGCCAUAGCUUCCUGUUACAAAAGCUAAUGCUUGACACUCUGGGACUCCGAGAAACGUACCUGAAUUCGAGGACGCGACUGGAACCGCUACAUUGGGAAACACACAACACAACAGUCCACCAAAAACCACAGUCAAAACGAGGAUAAACGAGACGUUCAUCUUGAGAGAUGCUUCGAAAGGAAAUUGCAAAAGUUGAUCGUCGAGAAAACGUGCCUGGCGAGAUCUGGACGCACGCGAUUGCUUAAAUGGCCAUCGAAUAGUAAUUCAUGCGACUGACAGAUCGAAAUUGGGCAUCUUAUUGCGUUCUCCACCUUCCACGUCCGACGUGCUUCGUCCUUUCGACCGCCAACUGACGUCGAUGCUAAUUUACGAAUACGCGAGUGCAACGUGGGCGCCUCGAAAUUGUUAAUUUUUGCAACUUUGCUGCCAUUCGACCCUUAUCGUCUCGUUAGCGUCACGAAAACGUUGACAGAAAUUAAAACGGCUAGAGGAACGUUAAAAACUUCCCUAGAAAAGGCCUCCACUGUUAAGAAAGCAAAGACCAGAAUUACAGGUUUUGCACCCCAAAUUCAACAUUUUACAAAUCUAGUUUUUUAAAAGUGAAUACACCAGAUUCCACUGAAUAAUUGUAAACAUUGCAACUCAUGACUUAAUGGGAUUGCUAUGACCGAGCUGUUGGGUCAUCCUGUAAAUGGCGUCGAGGCUCGUGGGAAACAAAGUGUUCGAUUCGUCCAUUUUGUCAAUUUUGUCCGAAGUGGUGUGCAACCAUGCAACCAGAAGACGAGUGGUCAGAUAGUUCCAUAAUCGGCGCAACGAUUCCUCGCUCAUUGACUCGACCUCUUCGAGAACGUAAUCUUUCACUGGGUCUAUCAAUGUCUGCAAGUAAUCAUCCAUCGACUGCGACGUGUUCGUCAUCCAACUUCGACUCCUUCUGGAGUUGGAAGAACCUAAGAGCCAAUCGAGGGUCGACGCGAUGGACGAAACGAUCCAUCGAAGCGCGGAAUCGACGAUGGAAAAUAGACACUUCACGAAAUGCACGAUCGUCUCCACGAGCCUUUGCAAAAAUCUGUCGAAUCUGGACGCUAGGAACCCGACCAGGUUCGCCAGAUUCGUAUCCAACGUGGCGACGAAGUCCUCCGCCAUUUUUCCCCUAGGAACUUCCACUAGAGUCUGGAUCUCUGAAAAUCAUUGUCGAAAUCAAAUAAAGUAGGACAACGUACAUAUUAACUGGAAACGAAACACCGAGGAACGUACCUGUGCCAGAGACAUCGACAGGACUCGCAUAAACGGAAGGCGUACAGCAUAAUCCAUAAAGGACCACCAGCAAUCCUAAGAUCGUCGAAUUGAUCAUCGAGAUAGAUUGGUUUCGAAAAGAAAUUGCACGUUUAUCGUCGAAAACAAAUUACUCGCGGACGAUGACGAUGGUCUGGAUGGUCGUGGCAAACUCCUCGACGUGACUCGCCGAUCAAAAUUAUAAAUCUCAUUGCAUUUUUCACGUUUUCACCGUUGAUAUCGAUGCUAAUUCUCGAACGCAAUCUAUACGCGAUGACAUCAUUAGAAAUUGUUCUUCGCGGCGCCAUUUAACCGUUAUCGUCGUUCUCUGCGAUACGUCGCGACACUCGGACAGAAACUAGAACACCCGAUUGUCUUCCAAUUCCGUCGAUUGACGUUCUUGAGACCUUUGCAAACGUAACUGAUAUUAUCCAACGUUAAACUGAUCUCUUUUUGCGUUCCAAAUUUGUUAAAAUUGAGAGGAAUAUAAAUAACAAACAGAUCAACAGAAUAUCGUAUUAUAUGUAAAUCUUCUUUAGUCGAUUUAUUGUCUACCUAAACGGUACUC